GCACCGGUGGUGCAUGGUACACCCGCCGAAUUCAUAAAGUUCAUCCAACAGUCCGUUACUGGACGGCGAGCCGGGGCUCGAUUCCCCGCCGGUGCA
Mycena rosella is the source of this 96-nucleotide non-coding RNA. The record is from the annotation of a GenBank genome assembly. Lineage: Eukaryota; Fungi; Basidiomycota; Agaricomycetes; Agaricales; Mycenaceae.